Molecule: long non-coding RNA, 1211 nt
Filed under: Equus caballus (horse)
Lineage: Eukaryota; Metazoa; Chordata; Mammalia; Perissodactyla; Equidae
Description: lncRNA (ENSECAG00000052584.1)
Source: RNAcentral
GAGGCAGGAAUCAAACCUACAUCUCUCUGGCUCCAAAGCCCUUACUGUUUGCUGAGGAUGGCAGUCAAGAAAUGAUCUACUAGAGUCAAGGUCAUAUAGCAUAUAGAUGAUCCAGAAUCAGCACAAUUUGGGGAGAAGAAAAAGAAUCAGCUCAUCUGGCUGCAGAAUAUGUCUGCUUGACUCCUAAGAUGCUGACUGAGCUGGAAAUCACAAAGAGAAGUCUAAGGACUGGGAACUCCAAAUGAACAUUUGCCUUCUACAGUGUGUUUCAAAAUAUGUUUUAUUUGUGUAAUGUUCAGAAAAUUAUAUUUCUGUCGAUAAUUACUUGGAAAUAUCUGUAUAAUUUAACACUGCAAUUGAUUAGUUUUAAUGGCAUACACACCCCCAUGUCCCUGGGAGCCUGUUCUCUCAGCAGGAGAAUGGUUGAAACAUGGGGCAUGUCUCCAAAAGGACUGCUAGACGUGCUAGAACUUGCAACAGAAACUGGAUAUAUCAAGGCAGCGUGCGUUAAUGGUUAAUUUUGCCUCCCAACACACAUACACACACACAUUUUCAUAUUGGGUUAAUUUACUGAUAUCACCUUACUCAGAUCUUGCUUUUUCAUCAGAUUCUUGAGCAAAUGCUAGGUGAGUCCCUGGGACCUAUGAGAGUCCCAUUAGCUGCAUUCCCAUAGCUUCCACACAGCAGGACACUCUAUUAUUUUAUCAGCCCCAUUCAAACUUACAAAAAGAACUGUUUCUACAUGGGCCAAUACUCUAAGUGCUGAUUUCAGACCAAGGCUUGCUGCUCAUACAGAACUCCAGAAAUGAGGAGAUGAGUGGAAAUCCAAACAGGCCCCCAGCACCGGCAGAUGCAAUGAUUGCUUCACAAAUUUCAUUUGCACAGAGGUAGAAAAGAAAGAGUGAAAGUGGGUCCUUAGUGAAGAAAUGUAGUGUUACAGAACAUUCUUUUUCUGUAAUAGGAGAAAACUGGACUGAUGUAAACUGAUUUUAUCCUCACUGAUCUUUUUCUUAAAAUUCAUGUUUAUCGCAAGCAGCAUGCAGCUGGUUAUUUCACGCUUUCCAACAGAUUUCUGGCUUUUGAAUAGAUUUUAAUAAAAAAAAAUCUUUUCAUGGAUUCCUGAUUUGUUUGCUUGGUGGGGACCACUCUUUGGUGGAAAUUAUAAUUGGGUAUUAUGUAUCCUAAUAACUUGAGCUUACAGGAUAGACGUC